This 1087-nucleotide ribosomal RNA is filed under the name Deltaproteobacteria bacterium. RNAcentral describes it as "bacterial SSU rRNA". It matches the Rfam family "Bacterial small subunit ribosomal RNA", at positions 1 to 1052 of the family's 1533-position model. Lineage: Bacteria; Pseudomonadati; Myxococcota; Myxococcia. The record is from RNAcentral.
AAACUGAAGAGUUUGAUCCUGGCUCAGAAUGAACGCUGGCGGCGUGCUUAACACAUGCAAGUCGUACGAGAAAUCUCGGGCUUGCUCGAGAGAGUAAAGUGGCGCACGGGUGAGUAACACGUAGGUAAUCUACCUCCGGGUCAGGGAUAACCCGCCGAAAGGCGGGCUAAUACCUGGUAAUACCCUGCCUGCGAGAGCAGGCGGGAUCAAAGGUGGCCUCUGCAUGCAAGCUACUGCUUGGAGAUGAGCCUGCGGACCAUUAGCUAGUUGGUAGGGUAAUGGCCUACCAAGGCGACGAUGGUUAGCUGGUCUGAGAGGACGGCCAGCCACACUGGAACUGGAACACGGUCCAGACUCCUACGGGAGGCAGCAGUGAGGACUAUUGCGCAAUGGGGGAAACCCUGACGCAGCGACGCCGCGUGGAUGAUGAAGGCCUUCGGGUCGUAAAAUCCUGUCAGAUGGGAAGAAGUGCAUGGUGGUUAAUACCCGCCAUGUUUGACGGUACCACCAAAGGAAGCACCGGCUAACUCCGUGCCAGCAGCCGCGGUAAUACGGAGGGUGCAAGCGUUGUUCGGAUUUACUGGGCGUAAAGGGCGCGUAGGCGGUUUUAUAAGUCAGAUGUGAAAGCCCACGGCUCAACCGUGGAAGUGCAUCUGAAACUGUGAGACUUGAGUAUGGGAGAGGAAAGUGGAAUUCCCGGUGUAGAGGUGAAAUUCGUAGAUAUCGGGAGGAAUACCGGUGGCGAAGGCGACUUUCUGGACCAAUACUGACGCUGAGGCGCGAAAGCGUGGGUAGCAAACAGGAUUAGAUACCCUGGUAGUCCACAGCUGUAAACGAUGAUAACUAGGUAUAGGGGGUGUUGACCCCUUCUGUGCCGCAGCUAACGCAUUAAGUUAUCCGCCUGGGGAGUACGGUCGCAAGAUUAAAACUCAAAGGAAUUGACGGGGGGCCGCACAAGCGGUGGAGUAUGUGGUUUAAUUCGACGCAACGCGCAGAACCUUACCUGGUCUUGACAUCCCGAGAAUUUUCUAGAAAUAGUUAAGUGCCUCUUCACAGAGGAGCUCGGUGACAGGUGCUGCAUGGCUGU